UAUGUCGGAAUUCAAAUCCACUUCUAAGAGCAAAAUUUAAUAACAUGCAACUAAAGCUUUCAAGUUUUUUUAAAAACCCAAUCAAUAAUGAUCCUAUGUGCUCAAUGCAUGUCAAUUCACAAAAAUUAAUCCUUAAACAUGGAAAUCAUUUUAUGUUUGCAUGUAUACUUGAAAUAACCACACACUGAAUAAGCAUUUUCACAAUUAAUGCUGCUUAUAACAGUUUUUAAUGUAUAAAACAACGAUUAUCACAGUAGUCACGGAAUCCUUUAAACACAUCCGUAAUAACAAAACGUUUAAUACAAAGUAAGGAAAAAACCCUAAUCCCAGCAGAGAGACAGAGCGCGCAAAACCCUAAUUGUCGCACAUAGCCACCACAAUUCUAACCGCAACACAACGGCAGAGAUUGAAACCGUAAUAGGAGCACAUUGCGAGAGCAAAAUCCUAAUCUCAGCACUAAAGGAGCGAGAGAGAGAGAGCGCGAAACCCUAAUUGCAAGUCAAAGAGAGUGAGAGCCAGUAAAACCCUAAUUUCCGCACAGAUGGAGCAAAGUUCUAAUCGCAUCAUAAAAAUGAGAAAAAUCCUGAUCAAAGCUCAACGAACGAGCGAGCCCUAAUUCUUGACUGAAGAGAGACAAAAUAUUUGAACGAAUGCCUACAAUUUGCAAAUCCUACUUCACCGGGCGGAUGUGGUGGUGUGAGAAUGGUGCUAUGUUUUCACCUAGAAGAGAUCAGUGAGUCUUUGUCUUCUUCU
RNAcentral lists this long non-coding RNA (753 nucleotides) under Physcomitrium patens. RNAcentral's name for it is "long non-coding RNA (PPAT_LNC003985)". Lineage: Eukaryota; Viridiplantae; Streptophyta; Bryopsida; Funariales; Funariaceae. The record is from RNAcentral.